GGUCGCCCCUGGCCUUUAGCACCCAGAUCACUUCUAACCCCUGACGAGCUGGAAAGGACAGGAGUCCCCGCAACCCGCGGUUUUACCUUCCGUGAUUUCAUUGACGUGCAGUCAACUCCGGUCCGAAUACAUUCCAUGGAAAGUUCCAGAAAUAAACAAUUGAUAAGUUUUCAACUGUGGGCCGCCCUGAGUAGCGUGAUGCAAUCAUCGUUUGGGGUGUGAAUCAUCCGUUUGUCCAGCAUCGCGCAGGGCACGCUCCCGCCCGUAGUCGCCGUGUUGGUCAUCAGAGAGCGACUGUCGGGUGUCACGGUGCUUGUGUCCUUGUUUGACUUAAUGGCCCCAAAGUGCACAAGUCGCUUAAACUUUAUCACAGAUGUGAGCCCAGCAGGCCUCUGGCGGACCUACCACUGAAGCUGGCCCCGCACCCCAGGCCCAGCAUGCGCCUGUCGGUGAGGAGGGCGCUGCUGGCGGCCGGCUGCGCCCUGGGCCUGCUCCUGGCCUUCCAGCUGGGGCAGCAGGUGCUGGAGUGCCGGGCGGUGCUGAAGGGCCCGCAGAGCCGCUGGCCUGCCAUGCGGCCGGAGCACGAGGACCUGGUGAUGGUGGGCACGGACCGCGUGGAGUACCGCUACGGCAAGGCCAUGCCCCUCAUCUUCGUGGGCGGCGUGCCCCGCAGCGGCACCACGCUGAUGCGCGCCAUGCUGGACGCCCACCCCGAGGUGCGCUGCGGCGAGGAGACCCGCAUCAUCCCCCGCGUGCUGGCCAUGCGCCAGGCCUGGUCCAAGUCGGGCCGGGAGAAGCAGCGGCUGGACGAGGCGGGCGUGACGGACGAGGUGCUGGACGCCGCCAUGCAGGCCUUCAUCCUGGAGGUGAUCGCCAAGCACGGCGAGCCGGCCCGCGUGCUCUGCAACAAGGACCCCUUCACCCUCAAGUCCUCCGUCUACCUGUCGCGCCUCUUCCCCAACUCCAAGUUCCUGCUGAUGGUGCGCGACGGCCGCGCCUCCGUGCACUCCAUGAUCACGCGCAAGGUCACCAUCGCCGGCUUCGACCUCAGCAGCUACCGCGACUGCCUCACCAAGUGGAACAAGGCCAUCGAGGUGAUGUACGCGCAGUGCCUGGAGGUGGGCCGCCACAAGUGCCUGCCCGUGUACUACGAGCAGCUGGUGCUGCACCCCCGGCGCUCCCUCCAGCUCAUCCUGGACUUCCUGGGCAUCGCCUGGAGCGACUCCGUCCUGCACCACGAGGACCUCAUCGGCAAGCCCGGCGGUGUCUCCCUGUCCAAGAUCGAGCGAUCCACCGACCAGGUCAUCAAGCCCGUGAACCUGGAAGCCCUGUCCAAGUGGACCGGGCACAUUCCCGGGGACGUGGUGAGGGACAUGGCCCAGAUCGCCCCCAUGCUGGCCCGGCUCGGCUACGACCCCUACGCGAACCCUCCCAACUACGGCAACCCGGACCCCAUCGUCAUCAACAACACGCACCGGGUGAGUGGGCGUGCACACGUGGAGGCGUGCACACGCGGAGGUGUGCACAUGUGGAGGCGCACACAACUGGAGGUGUGUACACAUGGAGGCAUGCACACGCAGAGGUGUGCGCACAUGGAGGCGUGCACACGCAGAGGUGUCCACAUGUGGAGGCGUGCACAUGCGGAGGUGUGCACAUGUGGAGGCGUGCACAUGCAGAGGUCUUGAGAGGGGACUAUAAAACACCAGCCAAUCUGAAAGGACAUUUUCAGGUGAACCCGAACAGCACCGCCUCCCACGUGGGAAGCUCGUGAUUUCCAGAUGAGCCGGGCCCCGGCAUCGCCACCGGCGAGCACAGCAUCUGCCCGGAGCGGCCCGAGCCCCAUGUUCAGAGACGCCCCAUUAGAAGGAAUAUUCCGGGGCUUCUCGGCUGUCCUGCCUCCGGCAUGCGUGGGUGCGAGCUCGCCCCACCUGCGGGGGGCCCCUUCCCUGCUCGGCCCCAGAUGCCAGGCUCCAGACAGUUCUGCAUCGAAAGAUGGUGAGUGAGGCGGUGGGGGGAGUGACUUGGGCCAGUGUCCCCGCCAUGUGCACAUGUGAAAUGGGGAAGUUAAACCCCCGGGUGAUCGGGAGGGGCCGAUGGGCCAGAGCCGUGGGGCCCCGGGUGACAGUGGAGACCGCGGUCCGACGGGACGGGCAGGGGCCGUACUGUGCGCACAGGAAGCUCCUGGUGGGCAUCACCACACCCGCCUCCUCCGCGCUCCCACCCCCUGUUGCUGCAAGUCCCACCCGUCCCGCCUGAGUGACCUGGCACCGCGGAUUGUGAAAUCUCAGCCCUGGGAGCAGCUGGGUGAGCAGGCGCUUCCACGGCCAGAUGGCGGCGGGGACGGUCGCCCGGCUCCGCCCCGCGUGCCUUGGCUGAUGUUGGUGCUUUUGCUGUCUUGGGCUUGGGCUGGUGGGAGCGUCCAGGUUUUUCUGCUCCACACAGACUUUUCACGGUUUAUUUGUGUGUAUUUUCAGGGUUUUGUUUUUUAGUGGCAGAGCCUUCCACACACACACACACAGUCGCGUGUGCAAGCUCCAUCUACAGAACACAACGGCGGCCUUCUGAGGAGGACCCCACACCUGCCCCGAGCUCCGGCGGCUCCUUCGGAAGCACUUUACCACAGCCAAGGUUCUGCAUUUGUUUGCCUGAUGAUUGGACUCGUGUUGGUCUCACUAGACCGUAAACUGAAUGGGAACCAUCGUUGUUAAUUGCUCACCAUUUACCCCACAUGUCGCCUGGCGGAUGGAGGGGGUGGGAGCCAGCUCCCCAGGGGACCCCCAGAGGUCCCCACCUCCAGGUGGUCACGCCCUUUCGUCCGAUGUCCCUUUCCACACUGACUAAGGUCGGGUCCCAGGUUAAUACAAGACGGAUGGCUGAACAUGGGCUUCAGAUAAAACAAUACGUAUCUUGUUUGUCGUUUGUCUGAAGUUCUCGUGGAGCUGGGCACCCUGUAUUUCUAUUUGCUCAGUCUGGCUGACAACCCUCCCUGGGGCCGGCCGUGCAGCCGGUCGGAUAUCAGGGAACUGCCUGUCGGUGUGUGACCCCCAAGGCGAGAUCAUAAACCCCGUGUGGCUUUGGCCUUAUUAUCUCGACCCAACUCUCGGGGAGGCCGGUCACUGUCAUGAGGACACUCAGCACCUGACAGAGGUCCCCGGGGCAGGGAACUCGGGCCUCCUGCCCACAGCGGCACCAGCGGCCAGCCGUGCGAGCGGGUCACCUCAGGAGCGCGGCCCAAGGGGGACCCCGCAUCACAGCAACCCGGCUGGGCCACACUUGGAUUCCUCCCCAAAGAAACUGAGAUCAUGUUUAUUGUCGUUUGCAGCUGCUCAGCUUGAAGAGAACUGUUAACACUACAAUAGACAAUACAUAGGAGCUCAGAAAUAUUUGUUAAUGAGUGGCUCAGUGAAUGAAUGGGUGAGUGAGUGAGUGAAUGAAUGAAUGAUGAAGGCCGGGGGUCCUCAUCUCACCGUGUGCUUUGGAGGGUGCUUGCUUUCAGAUCCUGCCUCAGGCCUGCGGAACGUCACGUCCCAGCUGCUAUCUAAGGAUGGUGUUCACAAGUUCUUGAAAGGGUGGAAACCAUCUGCAUGAAACAUUUAAAGAAAGCAAAUUCGCUCACCCAGCUGAUCUGGAUUUUCAGUUCCGGCGCGAGAUAUAUUUUUGUGACAAGAUUCAAAACACUAAGCCGUGUGCAACUGAAUGAUGUCCCUGUCCUAGAAAAGGCGCUUGUGCUAGACUUUAAAUAAAUCAGCUUUGAAAUGUCA
Myotis myotis is the source of this 3761-nucleotide RNA transcript. It is a transcript of the gene named tyrosylprotein sulfotransferase 2, with no coding region annotated. NCBI's taxonomy places the organism in Eukaryota, Metazoa, Chordata, Mammalia, Chiroptera, Vespertilionidae. The record is from RefSeq and is a predicted model, not a curated record. The transcript has 7 exons.